Molecule: ribosomal RNA, 468 nt
Filed under: uncultured bacterium
Lineage: Bacteria
Description: partial 16S ribosomal RNA
Rfam family: Bacterial small subunit ribosomal RNA
Source: RNAcentral
GACGAACGCUGGCGGCGUGCUUAACACAUGCAAGUCGAACGGAAAGGCCCUGAUUUUGUGGGGCGCUCGAGUGGCGCACGGGUGAGUAACACGUGAGUAACCUGCCCCUGAAUGUGGGAUAACUUUAGGAAACUGGGGCUAAUACCGGAUAGGAGAUACUGCUGCAUGGGGGGGGUUGGAAAGUUUCGGCGGUUGGGGAUGGACUCGCGGCUUAUCAGCUUGUUGGUGAGGUAGUGGAUUACGAAGGCUGUGAAGGGUAGCCCGCCUGGGAGGGUGACCGGGCACAUUGGGACUGAGAGAGGGCGCAGAAGCCAACGUGAGGCAGCAGUGGGGAAUAUUGCACAAUGGGCGGAAGCCUGAGGCAGCAGCGCCGCGUGCGUGAUGACGGCCUAUGGGUUGUAAACCGCUUUCUCCUUUGACGAAGCGGUAGUGACGGUAAUUGGUAAAGAAGCACCGGCUAACUACGUG